RNAcentral lists this ribosomal RNA (241 nucleotides) under uncultured Actinomycetales bacterium. Its description in RNAcentral is "partial 16S ribosomal RNA". It matches the Rfam family "Bacterial small subunit ribosomal RNA", at positions 92 to 334 of the family's 1533-position model. The record is from RNAcentral. Lineage: Bacteria; Bacillati; Actinomycetota; Actinomycetes; Actinomycetales.
CGAGUGGCGAACGGGUGAGUAACACGUGAGUAACCUGCCCUUGACUUUGGGAUAACUUCAGGAAACUGGGGCUAAUACCGGAUAGGAGCUCCUGCUGCAUGGUGGGGGUUGGAAAGUUUCGGCGGUUGGGGAUGGACUCGCGGCUUAUCAGCUUGUUGGUGGGGUAGUGGCUUACCAAGGCUUUGACGGGUAGCCGGCCUGAGAGAGUGACCGGCCACAUUGGGACUGAGAUACGGCCCAG